RNAcentral lists this ribosomal RNA (121 nucleotides) under Blastococcus sp. TF02-09. RNAcentral describes it as "Blastococcus sp. TF02-9 Bacterial small subunit ribosomal RNA". It matches the Rfam family "Bacterial small subunit ribosomal RNA", at positions 1 to 122 of the family's 1533-position model. Lineage: Bacteria; Bacillati; Actinomycetota; Actinomycetes; Geodermatophilales; Geodermatophilaceae. The record is from Rfam by way of RNAcentral.
UCUACGGAGAGUUUGAUCCUGGCUCAGGACGAACGCUGGCGGCGUGCUUAACACAUGCAAGUCGAACGGUGAACCUUCUUCGGGAGGGGAUCAGUGGCGAACGGGUGAGUAACACGUGGGC